CCUACGGGUGGCAGCUGUAGGGAAUAUUGCUCAAUGGGGGAAACCCUGACGCAGCAACGCCGCGUGGAGGAUGAAGGUUUUCGGAUUGUAAACUCCUUUUGUUAGAGAAGAUAAUGACGGUAUCUAACGAAUAAGCACCGGCUAACUCCGCGCCAGCAGCCGCGGUAAUACGGAGGGUGCAAGCGUUACUAGCAAUCACUGGGCGUAAAGAGCGCGUAGGCGGGAUAGCAAGUCAGAUGUGAAAUCCUCUGGCUUAACACUAGAACUGCAUUUGAAAAUGUUAUUCUAGAGUAUGGGAGAGGAAGAGGGAAUGCUUGGUGUAGGGGUAAAAUGCGUAGAGAUAAGGAGGAAUACUAGUGGCGAAGGCGAUCGGCUGGAAAAUAACUGACGGUGAGGCGCGAAAGCGUGGGGAGCAAACAGGAUUAGAUACCCUAGUAGUC
This 440-nucleotide ribosomal RNA is filed under the name uncultured bacterium. RNAcentral describes it as "partial 16S ribosomal RNA". It matches the Rfam family "Bacterial small subunit ribosomal RNA", at positions 338 to 795 of the family's 1533-position model. The record is from RNAcentral.